Molecule: long non-coding RNA, 340 nt
Filed under: Glycine max (soybean)
Lineage: Eukaryota; Viridiplantae; Streptophyta; Magnoliopsida; Fabales; Fabaceae
Description: long non-coding RNA (GMAX_LNC002093)
Source: RNAcentral
AAGGAGUGAUUCAAGAAAAGCGCUGUGCUAUUGAAGAGAAGUGUUUCGCCUUCACGUUUUAAUCUUCUGCAUGCUGCAUGCAGAAGCCAAGCAUGUGCCUGGACCCCGCAAGCAUGUACCUAUAUGUGAGGUGUUCCUAUCAACAUACGUACGCUGUAACUGUUGCAACUCACGGGAUGAAUAAAGGCCUUUGGAAAUAUGAUGAUGACCAGUAUUUUAUGGAGGGUGUUAUAUUGUAUCAGGAUGUGAUUUGGUAAUUUUAAUCAUUUCUGUGAAGGUGGGGUUUAUAUUGCUGUUAUACAUUUAUGGAAGGUGUGAUAUAUAGUACGUACAAUGCUAU